GACGAACGCUGGCGGCGUGCCUAAUACAUGCAAGUUGAGCGCUGAAGGUUGGUACUUGUACCAACUGGAUGAGCAGCGAACGGGUGAGUAACGCGUGGGGAAUCUGCCUUUGAGCGGGGGACAACAUUUGGAAACGAAUGCUAAUACCGCAUAAAAACUUUAAACACAAGUUUUAAGUUUGAAAGAUGCAAUUGCAUCACUCAAAGAUGAUCCCGCGUUGUAUUAGCUAGUUGGUGAGGUAAAGGCCCACCAAGGCGAUGAUACAUAGCCGACCUGAGAGGGGGAUCGGCCACAUUGGGACUGAGACACGGCCCAAACUCCUACGGGAGGCAGCAGUAGGGAAUCUUCGGCAAUGGACGAAAGUCUGACCGGGCAACGCCGCGUGAGUGAAGAAGGUUUUCGGAUCGUAAAACUCUGUUGGUAGAGAAGAACGUUGGUGAGAGUGGAAAGCUCAUCAAGUGACGGUAACUACCCAGAAAGGGACGGCUAACUACGUG
RNAcentral lists this ribosomal RNA (497 nucleotides) under uncultured bacterium. Its description in RNAcentral is "partial 16S ribosomal RNA". It matches the Rfam family "Bacterial small subunit ribosomal RNA", at positions 28 to 507 of the family's 1533-position model. The record is from RNAcentral.